This 576-nucleotide long non-coding RNA is filed under the name Carica papaya (papaya). RNAcentral describes it as "long non-coding RNA (CPAP_LNC012998)". Lineage: Eukaryota; Viridiplantae; Streptophyta; Magnoliopsida; Brassicales; Caricaceae. The record is from RNAcentral.
AAGGGGUCCCUAUUUAUAGAAAAUGGAGCUCGUUAGAUUUUCGCCAAGUGGCAAAAUCUAAUGAGGAAAGAUAAAGUUGAGUGAAAGAUGAGUGAUUUGACGCGACCCAAUGACGGUGCGAAAAAUGAAAGAAUAAUCCUAAAAUGACAGCCGCUCUCCACCUAAGGUGAUGACAGUACGUCGCCCAAGGUAGUGCACGGUGCUAAGAGGUGGUGGUACACUAUCCAAAGCAACAGUGCUCCUCCCCAGGCCAGCCGUGCACUGCAGGCCUUGCCUGCAAGUGCUGGCCUAUCUUGCCACGUGUAGUGGCUAGUGUGCGUGCGUGUAGGGCCUACAGUGCCCAGGGCACUGCCUAUCAGCCGACUGUGUGUAGGCCCAUGCACGCAGGCCUAUUGCGUGGGCAGUGCAUGCACAGGGCCCACAACACUUGGCCCUGUCCACGUGAGAUGUGAUGCUCGCUGACACUCUUGUCUGCACGUGAUGGGACACGCACACAAACUGCCCUUGCACCCCCGCGGAUGGGACGUGCGCAUAGUGAGAACGUCCUACGCUGGCCGUGUGCGCACGCACUCGCAC